UUCUUUAAUUUGAAUACCAUGUGGCGGAGUGAUAAUGAAGAACUACAUAAUGAAAUUACUUAUUCUAAUAUACAAUCAGAUGAGUUAUGGGAUACAAUUCAAAUAAAACCGGUUGAAAUUGAUGACUAUUAUGAGCAGCUUGAUGAGAUAUGUUAUUUGAUGGAUUUAUAUGGUGAUUCUAAUUAUGCUCCUUGUGGUUUAUUUGAUGAGUAUCAAGAUAUACAAAUAAUCUUACAAUAUAGGGAGGGAGAACUUGAAGAAUGU
Molecule: unclassified non-coding RNA, 264 nt
Filed under: Hevea brasiliensis (rubber tree)
Lineage: Eukaryota; Viridiplantae; Streptophyta; Magnoliopsida; Malpighiales; Euphorbiaceae
Source: RNAcentral